Molecule: non-coding RNA, 137 nt
Organism: Salmo salar (Atlantic salmon)
Lineage: Eukaryota; Metazoa; Chordata; Actinopteri; Salmoniformes; Salmonidae
Source: RefSeq, a predicted model, not a curated record
GUGAUACUGAAGCACAUGGCUGCAGCAGACAGUUGUUCCAGAAGUAAUGUCCAGAAGAAAUCUAGAAGAUGCCACAUAAAAAAGUAUCCUAUAUGAUAUCAGGAACAUCUGCAAAAAGCCAGGGAGAGAUACUGGAA